AUUGAACGCUGGCGGCAGGCCUAACACAUGCAAGUCGAGCGAGCGGCGGACGGGUGAGUAAUGUCUGGGAAACUGCCUGAUGGAGGGGGAUAACUACUGGAAACGGUAGCUAAUACCGCAUACCAUCAGAUGUGCCCAGGUGGGAUUAGCUAGUAGGGGGGGUAACGGCUCAACUAGGCGACGAGCCCUAGCUGGUCUGAGAGGUGGACCAGUCACAUGGGAACUGAGACACGGUCCAGAUUCCUACGUGAGGCAGCAGUGGGGAAUAUUGCACAAUGGGCGCAAGCCUGAUGCAGCCAUGCCGCGUGUGUGAAGAAGGCCUUCGUGUUGUAAAGCACUUUCAGCGGGGAGGCGUUACCCGCAGAAGAAGCACCGGCUAACUCCGUGCCAGCAGCCGCGGUAAUAC
RNAcentral lists this ribosomal RNA (406 nucleotides) under uncultured bacterium. RNAcentral describes it as "partial 16S ribosomal RNA". It matches the Rfam family "Bacterial small subunit ribosomal RNA", at positions 30 to 526 of the family's 1533-position model. The record is from RNAcentral.